GACGAACGCUGGCGGCGUGCUUAACACAUGCAAGUCGAACGGAAAGGCCCUGCUUGCGGGGUACUCGAGUGGCGAACGGGUGAGUAACACGUGGGUGAUCUGCCCUGCACUUCGGGAUAAGCUUGGGAAACUGGGUCUAAUACCGGAUAGGAGCCAUCUUUAGUGUGGUGGUUGGAAAGUUUUUUCGGUGUAGGAUGAGCUCGCGGCCUAUCAGCUUGUUGGUGGGGUAAUGGCCUACCAAGGCGGCGACGGGUAGCCGGCCUGAGAGGGUGUACGGCCACAUUGGGACUGAGAUACGGCCCAGACUCCUACGGGAGGCAGCAGUGGGGAAUAUUGCACAAUGGGCGCAAGCCUGAUGCAGCGACGCCGCGUGGGGGAUGAAGGCCUUCGGGUUGUAAACUCCUUUCGCUAGGGACGAAGCUUUUUUGUGACGGUACCUAGAGAAGAAGCACCGGCUAACUACGUG
Molecule: ribosomal RNA, 466 nt
Filed under: uncultured bacterium
Lineage: Bacteria
Description: partial 16S ribosomal RNA
Rfam family: Bacterial small subunit ribosomal RNA
Source: RNAcentral